AAGAUGAUACUCUCAAGAAUCAUGAUCGUUCUAUACAGUUCAUUACUAGGGGAAGUUUCUCUAAAUAUGUAGAGCGCUGGAAGCCAUGAGAAGGAGUCUUAGCGUUGUCGCCUGAGCAUGAAGCAGGCUCUUGUUGCUUCACUGCAACCACCAUGUACCAUUGAUGAUGGUUCUUCUCUUCCUCCAGGAGAGUAAGAGGGAAAGAAUGCAGUCUGAGUGGU
Small nucleolar RNA from Rhinopithecus bieti (black snub-nosed monkey), 221 nucleotides. Its record names the gene U3. It matches the Rfam family "Small nucleolar RNA U3". From Rfam's summary of the family: Small nucleolar RNAs (snoRNAs) are involved in the processing and modification of rRNA in the nucleolus. There are two main classes of snoRNAs: the box C/D class, and the box H/ACA class. The record is from Ensembl. Lineage: Eukaryota; Metazoa; Chordata; Mammalia; Primates; Cercopithecidae.